This 439-nucleotide ribosomal RNA is filed under the name uncultured bacterium. Its description in RNAcentral is "partial 16S ribosomal RNA". It matches the Rfam family "Bacterial small subunit ribosomal RNA", at positions 338 to 795 of the family's 1533-position model. The record is from RNAcentral.
CCUACGGUAGGCAGCAGUGGGGAAUAUUGCACAAUGGGGGAAACCCUGAUGCAGCGACGCCGCGUGAGUGAAGAAGUAUCUCGGUACGUAAAGCUCUAUCAGCAGGGAAGAAAAUGACGGUUCCUGACUAAUAAGCCCCGGCUAACUACUUGCCAGCAGCCGCGGUAAUACGUAGGGGGCAAGCGGUCUCCGGAUUUACUGGUUGAAACGGGAGCGUAGACGGCAGCGGAAGUCUGGAGUGAAAUCCCGGGGUUUAACCCGGACCUGCUUUGGAGACUUUGCGACGGGAGUGGUGGAGGGGUAAGCGGAAUUCCUAGUGUAGCGGUGAAAUGCGGAGAUAUAAGGAGGAACACCGGUGGCGAAGGCGGCUUACUGGGCUGUAACUGACGUUGAGGCUCGAAAGCGUGGGGAGCAAACAGGAUUAGAUACCCGUGUAGUC